Molecule: non-coding RNA, 161 nt
Filed under: Actinomycetes bacterium
Lineage: Bacteria; Bacillati; Actinomycetota; Actinomycetes
Description: Actinobacteria bacterium 6S RNA
Rfam family: 6S / SsrS RNA
About the family: E. coli 6S RNA was the first non coding RNA to be sequenced, but its function was unknown until recently. It consists of 184 nucleotides that fold into an extended hairpin structure with a large single-stranded internal bulge.
Source: RNAcentral
CGUGCUCGACCCUGUGCGUGGCCUCGUCGCACAAUGUUGAACCAACAUCACUGCAUAGGGAGCCCGAGUCCGGCUAGGCGUUCGGCCUAGGCGGCAGGGCACCCACCUGGCUCGUCCAGGUUCGCAAUGCGGCGGGGCUUCAUCGGCAGGGUGGGGCACUU